This 137-nucleotide unclassified non-coding RNA is filed under the name soil metagenome. Its description in RNAcentral is "partial internal transcribed spacer 1". The record is from RNAcentral.
CUGAGUUUUCAACUCUCCAAACCAUGUGAACUUACCACUGUUGCCUCGGUGGUUUGGGUCUUCGGGACUGACCACCGGUGGACUACUAAACUCUUGUUAAUUUUUGGCAUUCUGAAUCAUAACUAAGAAAUAAGUUA